GUUUUCUUUUUCCACUGAAAUACCUACUGUGCCAUAAAAACAUUUUGUGCUGUGCUCAGAUGAACAAAAUCCCACCAAAGUACACAGAGAGCUCAGUCUGCAGGCAUGCAGUCCCUGCUCUGCUUUGAAUUACUCCAGUGUAAAUUUAGCCAUGCUUCAUUAAGAUAGAAGAAAAUACACUUGUAAAAAUAAUGUAAGAAUAAGGCCUAUAAAAAGAAUAGGGUAUAGAGGUGUUUGUUUGGUGUGUUGUUUUGGGAUUUUUAUUUGCUUGAGUUUUUUAAAAGACUUUAUUGGUACAGUUCUUAUUGGUUCAUUGACACAGGUAAGCCAUAUAUUAGUUACACUAGUUAUCACAGACAGAUGAUAAAAAUAUUUUUAUGCCUUUUUUUCCCCGGAAACUCUGAUUUAGAAUUUUACAAUUGUAAAUAGUUUAAAAAAUAUAUUUUAAUGAAAUUUUGCAUAUCUUUAUCCCAUUCUGGCUAUUAGAAGUAUUUGAUGAGCUGAAACAGUGCAUACCAAAGGAAGAAGCAAUGAUGAAUAUGUAUUUAGGAACCUCUAAACUCAUUGUAAGAUGUUUUCUUUAAAUAAGGAUAUUCCUUUAUUUAGACAAUUUGCUUUCCAUCAGCUGCAAAACACCCAUUUCUAAAAUUUCUCAUGACGCAGCAGUAUUAUUAGUGAGUGGGUUUUUAUAGUAUUACAGGUUCAGAUUGAAAGAUUAUGUUAAUAUUUACUAGUCAGGCUUUUAUUUUUCCUCCAGUGAUUUUUGCUUAGCUGUUUGAAAUAGUUAAUUAAAUCUGGUUGGACAGCCUACCCUUAGUGGCUCCUGGCCUCUGUGUUUAUAAUUAACAUAGCAAACAGGGCAAAAUACAAGAAAUUACCUCUGAGUUAGAGACAGGUGUGCCAAGGAUGGGUGUUGCUGCUCCUAGGGGCAUUAAUGAGAUGUGUUAAUGGACCUUCAGGUGUAGAUUUCAAAGAGAGUGCUGCACCUGCAAAGAUGUACAGGCCAAGAAUGUCCAGAAGGUACCAUUUCCAGUUGCACUUCCUUGUGCAGGCAGUCUCUUGGGAGAUUAGACUUGGCCACAGCAGUAGCCUUAGAAAGAUUUCUUGAUCUCCUUGCAUUUGCAUUUACUGCCUUAAUUUAGGAUGUCAUUCUGAGAGUACCACUCCCAGUUUUCAGGUAAAUUCUGUUAAGCUCAGAGUUUGCAUGUGGACCACAGAGUGAGCUCCAUAUGGCUGUCCAGGCAGUGGUGCAACACAAAGAAUAUAUAAAUGAUUUUCAAAGCAUCACAUAAGAACUUUGUAUUAAAGCAGUGUGAUUUAGCAGAAUGAGAACGGAUCAGCAGAAACCUGACUCCUUACUUCAUCCACCUUCUACAGGGUGAUCUGGAGCUUCUGUCAAGCUUUGAGUUUAUGGACUUUUCCUGGAGGAAGGCUCCUGUGGAUAUCCUGCAUUCCUUAUCUGAAGUAUGGCAUUGAGCUCCUGUGUCAGGUGUAAAAGGGCUUCUAGAAGCUGUAAGUACCAGGCAUGUGUUUUCUUCAAAGUGACUACUGUUGCAGAGAAUGAUCAUGUGGUUUAACCCUGGCCAACAACUAAGGACCACACAGUCGCUUCCACUUCUCCCCUCUCCCCAGCACUGCCAUGAGGGGAAGAGAAUUGGAAGGGUAAAAAUAAGACUCUUGGGUUGAGAUAAAGACAGCUGAAUAGGGAAAGCAAAAGCUGUGCACACACAGAGCACAAGGAAUUUGUUUCCUACUUCCCAUGAGCAGGCAGCCGUCUCCAGGAAAGUGUGGCUCUGUUGUGUGUGGUUACCUGGGAAAACAGGUGCCAUCCCUCCAAAUGUCCUCCUGUUCCUUCUUUCCUCAGCUUCACAGGCUGAACAUGAUGUCAGAUGCUAUGAAAUGACCCUUUGGUCAGUUGAGGUCAGCUGUCCCGAAUGUGUCACCUCCCAGCCUCUUGUGCACCCCCUGCCUCCUUGCUGGUGGGGAGUUGUGAGCAGCAGAAAACAGUGCUUACACCCAGGCAAAGCUGGUGUGUAAGUGCUGCUCAGCAAAAACUGCAGCAUCCCUGCACUGCCACAGUGUUUUCAGUAUGUAUCCAAAACACAGCCCCAUACUAGCUACUGUGAAGAAAAUUCACCGUAUCCCAGCUAAAACCAGCACAAAUGGCUAGUUCCAGUCCUUUCUCAAGUUGACUACUGUGUGCCCUCUUUAGAAAGGUGAACUCGAUGAUGAUAUUUUUCCAUUAGUAUUUUAUCAUUUUGUUCUACAGGUAUAGCUUACUCUGAUUUCCUGCUGCAAAUCCUGUUUCCACUUACUGAUCAUCUUCAAGCAAAUAUGUAAUACAUGCCAUAAUCAAUCUAUCUCAGUACCCUAAUCAACAUCCAUUUAAAUGCAGCACAGGUUUUAUGUCUGCCUGGACUUGCCAAUCUAACUGACAUGAUCUGGAUUUAUUAGAAAAGUCCUAAAUACUGUUACACUGUCAAUUAAAAAUAGAACUCCUGUAGUAGUCUGAAGAACAUGCAAGUUGAUAUUUAGCACUUACAUUUUUUAAAUAACCCAUUUAAUGAUAAAUUAUGUCAUUAGUACAUGAUGAGCAGAUUACUUACUUACAAUCCUUACCAGUGUAUUAAAAUUGUUAUCUCAGAAUAUUUGAAUAGUGAUUUACAUGAAACAUUGAAAUGUAUUAAUCUUUAUACUCCUCAUUUAGAAAGAAUAUGAUAAUGAAAAAAUUAAUUGUCGGAAAUUUGUGUGCACUACUCAGAGAGAAGCUUGGAUAAUUCCUGCUCCUGAAGGACUAUUUCUGUCAGGCCUUGUUAUGCUUGACUUGUAUCAUCCUUGGGAGCUGCUCUGUCAAAUUGAUGUUUAUUUGAUAUAUUUUUAAUUUCUCUUCAGUAAAUUUGUCCAAACACAUGCAUCAUGUGCACACAUGCCUGCUUGUACACUAAGAAGAUGAGCAGAAAGGGACACUGGGAGAUGUCAAUCCAUGUUUGGGUAGUUGUGGCUGUCUGUAUGCUGAUAGUCAUGUUCAGCUCGCCUGCACCUUCUACUGACAUUCGCUGGGUCCUGCCUCAAGGUGGAGCUGUUAUAUUUGCAAUGGUGAUCAAGAUUUGAAAAGCAAUUUCUUCCCCCAAAUGCUGUUUCUGAUUUGAAUAGAUGUAUGAGUUAUACCGGUAAAGAAAAACAGCGAGAAAUUUUCCUCCCCCUCAGCAAAAGCUGGAGUCAUCAGUGUGUCACGCAGGUGGAUGGGCGUACAACACUGACUUUUAUUCAACCUGACACCACCUUUUGUAGGCUCAGGAAGAUGCAUGCCUUUCACUUGCAGUAGGAUUAUGACAAUGUGCGCAUUCCAGCUGUCAAAGGCAGUGCUGUUCUUCUUGUGGCUCUUUGUAAUUGGGAAUGUUUUCCCAGAAGACAGUAUGUGUGUGUGUAUUGUGUUCCAAUUAAGACUAUAUGAGGCAUUUAUGGCAGGCUGUCAAAUCAAUGGGACGCUGGGAGUAUUUUAGUCUCCAUGCUAUAGUCUAAAUAACCUUUUAAGGACUCUGUUCCCUCAAUGUGGUAAAUAAAUGCUGAAUGUUUUGUACUUAA
Passer domesticus (house sparrow) is the source of this 3585-nucleotide long non-coding RNA. RefSeq lists it as uncharacterized. Lineage: Eukaryota; Metazoa; Chordata; Aves; Passeriformes; Passeridae. The record is from RefSeq and is a predicted model, not a curated record. The transcript has 10 exons.